Microcebus murinus (gray mouse lemur) is the source of this 1853-nucleotide non-coding RNA. NCBI's taxonomy places the organism in Eukaryota, Metazoa, Chordata, Mammalia, Primates, Cheirogaleidae. The record is from RefSeq and is a predicted model, not a curated record.
CUGCCUGCUUCUACUCCAGCCUCCAUCAUGUCCAUCAGGGUGACCCAGAAGGUCCUACAAGAUGUCUCCCUAUGGCCCCUGGGCCUUCAGCAGCUGCUCAUAUACCAGCGGGCCCAGUGCCCACAUCAGCUCCUCCAGCUUCUCCUGGGUGGGCAGCAGCAGCGGCUUCCAAAGUGGCCUCGGCAUGUGUCUGGGUGGGGGUUAUGCGGGGGCCAGUGGUAUGGGAGGCAUCACAGCCGUCAGGGUGAACCAAAACCUGCUGAGCUUCCUCAUUCUGGAGGUGGAUCCCAACAUCCAGGCCAUGUGCAACCAGGAGGAGGAGAUCAAAACCCUCAACGACAAGUUUGCCUCCUUCAUCAACAAGGUGCGGUUCCUGGAGCAGCAGAACAAGAUGCUGGAGACCAAGUGGAGCCUCCUGCAGCAGCAGAAGACGGUUCGGAGCAAUACAGACGGGCGGCAUGUUUGACAACUACAUCAGCAACCUUCUGCGACAGCUGGACACACUGGGCCAGGAGAAGCUGAAGCUGGAGGCGGAGCUUGGCAAUAUGCAGGGGCUGGUGGAGAACUUCAAGAAUAAGUAUGAGGAUGAGAUCAACAAGCGUACAGAGAUGGAGAAUGAAUUUGUCCUCAUCAAGAAGGAUGUGGAUGAAGCUUACAUGAACAAGGUAGAGCUGGAGUCUCGCCUGGAAGGCCUUACUGAUGAGAUCAACUUCCUCAGGCAACUGCAUGAAGAGGAGAUCUGUGAGUUGCAGUCCCAGAUGUCAGAUACAUCUGUGGUCCUGUCCAUGGACAAUAGCCACUCCCUGAACACAGAUAGCAUCAUCGUUGAGGUCUGUGCCCAGUACGAGAUCACCAACCACAGCCAGGCUGAGGCUGAGAGGAUGUACCAGACCAAGUAUUAGGAGCUGGAGGUUCUGGCUGGGAAGCAUGGGGAUGACCUAUGUCACACGAAGACAGAGACAUGCUGGAUCAUCAUCUGGCUCCAUGCCGAGAUGGAAGGUCUUACCCACUUCGUGAAGGCCAAGAGGGCUUCCCUGGAGACAGUUAUUGCGGAUGCUGAGCAGUGCGGGAACCUGGCCAUUACGGGUGCCAUGGCCAAGGUGGACGAGCUGAAUGCCGCCCUGCAGCGAGCCAAGCAGGGCAUGGCAUGGCAGCUGCGCAAGUACCAGGAGCUGAUGAAUGUCAAGCUGGCCCUGGACUUCGAGAUCACCACCUACCACAAGCUGCUGGGGGGCGAGGAGAGCCAGCUGGAGUCUGGGAUGCAGAGCAUGAGCAUCCACACAAAGACCACCAGUGGCUACUCAGGUGGGCUGAGCUCGGCCUAUAGGGGCCUCAUAAGCCCUGGCCUCAGCUGUGGCCUGAGCUUUUUCCAGCCCUGCUUUGGCUCUGGUGGGAGCUCUGGCUCCUUCAGCUGCAUCAGCUCCUCCAGGGCUGUGGUAGUGAAGAAGAUCAAGAUCUGUGAAGGGAAGCUGGUGUCCAAGUUCUCUGAUGUCCUGCCCAAGUGAACGGCCACUGCAGCCCUCCAGCCUACACCCUCGAGUGGCUGCCCCAGAGUCUGUGGGGGAGGCAGCUGUGCCAGGGAGCACAGGGAAACAGGAGACCCACCUGAGGCUCAGCCCCAGCCCCCCCAGCCCUCAGCCCACCAGCGAGGGGAGUUUACUGCCUGGGGUACCCCCUCUUACCCAUGCCCCCAACUAAAAACCAAUUCAAUUGCUUUUCCCAAAAUAAAGCCUCAGCUGGCUCUGCCAACCAAAAGAAAAAAGAGAGGAAUCAAAGUGUAUCACUAGCCAAAGAAACCACAAUUAGUAAGGGAGGAAGAAAGGAUCUACAAAACAACUAGAAAACAAUUAACA